UUACAAUUUCGAAAUUGAAGAAACAAUAUUAAAGCGAAUCAUUCUCGAUUGACAGUGUAACUGCGGGAAGAUGCGUGAGAUUAGAGCUCAGAGUAGAUAACGGUGCAUUCAUCAUUCUACACCGUCGAAUAUAAUAGAUAUAGAUAUUCAUACAGCACUCAUUAUAAUUUUAUGUUAAAUUACACCUAAGAACCGAAAUUUGUGUUUUUAAUAUUCACAGUGUAGAACUAAUGAUUUUAACUGAAAAGAAAAAUUCAAACGUUGUAAGGAUUGCAGCUAUUAGCUACUUUCCUCGACCCAUUUAGCCGCCCACUAAUAACAAUUAUUUUUGGGACAAUUUAGACAAAAUCACGCUUCGGGAUGACUGCAACGGUUUUAUGAUUUUUUAAUUAAAGAUAUUUAAGUAUAUGAUACGGAGAAUAUUUUAAGGUUCAGGUACCCCCAUCGGAUGUGUAGUUUCUGAGAAUGAGUUCUUGAAAUAAAGAACCCCUUUGUAACUCGAUCACUCCCUCCUGUUUAUUGGAUUAAAUUAUGGAUCUCAAGGAUUGUUGUCAACCAAGAGUCAAAGUGACGCUGAGGGAAAAAUAAGAUAGAAGAAGAAGCCAUUACCAUUAUGUGUGAUGUAAGUUAUUCGGAGGCACUAACACACCUUUUUAUGUUUUGCAUUUGAAAUGCCUGAUAAAGUUGACACCUCAGCGGUUACGGGAGUUUCUGUAUAUUUACAUACGUGCAGUUGCAUUUUCAAUUUCAGGAAUUCACCUAAAGCGACAUACUGAAAACUACUAUAAAUACGCAUUCGUCCACCUGACCCGAUUGAAUUUCUGGAAUACAAAUCAUCAACCGGUUACUAAGGAGAAGUAUGAAUGAGGAAAAACUUGAUUUGAAAAGCUGUUUGGAUCUUAACACAUACGACCAGAAAACAUAGAACCCGUUAAUUCGUCUCCUCGGAGACAAAACUUGUUCAAAGGCAUAUAUAUAUAUACAUAUAUAUCACUGUUCAAGAAAAAAAAA
Long non-coding RNA from Hermetia illucens (black soldier fly), 1011 nucleotides. RefSeq lists it as uncharacterized. The transcript is spliced from 2 exons. The record is from RefSeq and is a predicted model, not a curated record. NCBI's taxonomy places the organism in Eukaryota, Metazoa, Arthropoda, Insecta, Diptera, Stratiomyidae.